UGAGGAAUAUUGGUCAAUGGGCGUGAGCCUGAACCAGCCAUGUAGCGUGCAGGAAGACGGCCCUAUGGGUUGUAAACUGCUUUUAUGCGGGGAUAAAGGAGUCCACGUGUGGUUUUUUGCAGGUACCGCAUGAAUAAGGACCGGCUAAUUCCGUGCCAGCAGCCGCGGUAAUACGGAUGGUCCGGGCGUUAUCCGGAAUUAUUGGGUUUAAAGGGAGCGUAGGCCGCGCUUUAAGCUUGUUGUGAAAUGUAGGAACUCAACUUUUAGAUUGCAGCGCGAACUGGCAUACUUGAGUGCUCACAACGUAGGCGGAAUUCAUGGUGUAGCGGUGAAAUGCUUAGAUAAAAUGACGAACUCCGAUUGCGAAGGCAGCUGACGGGAGCGCAACUGACGCUAAAGCUCGAAAGUGCGGGUAUCGAACAGG
This 424-nucleotide ribosomal RNA is filed under the name Verrucomicrobiota bacterium. Its description in RNAcentral is "Verrucomicrobia bacterium partial 16S ribosomal RNA". It matches the Rfam family "Bacterial small subunit ribosomal RNA", at positions 355 to 776 of the family's 1533-position model. Lineage: Bacteria; Pseudomonadati; Verrucomicrobiota. The record is from RNAcentral.